RNAcentral lists this ribosomal RNA (864 nucleotides) under uncultured archaeon. RNAcentral describes it as "bacterial SSU rRNA". It matches the Rfam family "Archaeal small subunit ribosomal RNA", at positions 1 to 872 of the family's 1478-position model. The record is from RNAcentral.
UCUCUGGUUGAUCCUGCCAGAGGCCACUGCUAUCGAGGUUCGAUUAAGCCAUGCGAGUCGAGAGGUGCAAGACCUCGGCAUACUGCUCAGUAACACGUGGACAACCUACCCUGAGGAGGGGGAUAACCCCGGAAAACUGGGGAUAAUACCCCAUAGGCCCAGGGAUGCUGGAAUGCCUCCUGGUUGAAAGGUCCGCCGCCUCAGGAUGGGUCUGCGGCCGAUUAGGUUGUUGUUGGGGUAACGGCCCAACAAGCCAUUGAUCGGUACGGGUUGUGGGAGCAAGAGCCCGGAGAUGGAUUCUGAGACACGAAUCCAGGCCCUACGGGGCGCAGCAGGCGCGAAAACUUUACAAUGCGAGAAAUCGUGAUAAGGGAACCCCGAGUGCCCGUAAAUUCGGGCUGUCCAUCAGUGUAAAUAACUGGUGAAGAAAGGGCCGGGCAAGACCGGUGCCAGCCGCCGCGGUAAUACCGGCGGCUCGAGUGGUGGCCGCUAUUAUUGGGCUUAAAGCGUCCGUAGCUUGGUUGUUAAGUCUCCUGGGAAAUCCACCGGCUCAACCGGUGGGCGUUCGGGAGAAACUGGCAACCUAGGGACCGGGAGAGGUGAGAGGUACUCCAGGGGUAGGAGUGAAAUCCUGUAAUCCUUGGGGGACCACCUGUGGCGAAGGCGUCUCACUAGAACGGCUCCGACAGUGAGGGACGAAAGCUGGGGGAGCAAACCGGAUUAGAUACCCGGGUAGUCCCAGCUGUAAACGAUGCGCGUUAGGUGUAUCGGUGACCACGAGUCACCGAGGUGCCGAAGGGAAACCGUGAAACGUGCCGCCUGGGAAGUACGGUCGCAAGGCUGAAACUUAAAGGAAUUGGCGGG